CUCCGAAGUUCAAGGCUAGCCUGGGCAGUGCAUUGGAACAACUUCUCAGCCAUGGAGGAGGGUGUACUUGUUUAUUGGUGACACCGUCAUCAUUUAACUAUAAUCAGAUUCUGACUUGGCACAAACAACAUUC
Grammomys surdaster is the source of this 133-nucleotide small nucleolar RNA. RefSeq annotates it as small nucleolar RNA SNORA24. Lineage: Eukaryota; Metazoa; Chordata; Mammalia; Rodentia; Muridae. The record is from RefSeq and is a predicted model, not a curated record. The transcript has a single exon.